GAUGAAGAACGUAGCGAAAUGCGAUAAGUAAUGUGAAUUGCAGAAUUCAGUGAAUCAUCGAAUCUUUGAACGCACAUUGCGCCCGCCAGUAUUCUGGCGGGCAUGCCUGUUCGAGCGUCAUUUCAACCAUCAAGCCCCCGGCUUGUGUUGGGGACCUGCGGCUGCCGCAGGCCCUGAAAACCAGUGGCGGGCUCGCUAGUCACUCCGAGCGUAGUAAUACAUCUCGCUCAGGGCGUGCUGCGGGUUCCUGCCGUUAAAAAGCCUUAUUUACCCAAGGUUGACCUCGGAUCAGGUAGGAAGACCCGCUGAACUUAAGCAUAUCAAUAAGCGGAGGA
RNAcentral lists this unclassified non-coding RNA (335 nucleotides) under soil metagenome. RNAcentral describes it as "partial contains 5.8S ribosomal RNA, internal transcribed spacer 2, and large subunit ribosomal RNA". The stretch from base 1 to 120 matches the Rfam family "5.8S ribosomal RNA", at positions 35 to 154 of the family's 154-position model. The record is from RNAcentral.